This is a long non-coding RNA of Zonotrichia leucophrys gambelii, 1359 nucleotides long. RefSeq lists it as uncharacterized. The record is from RefSeq and is a predicted model, not a curated record. Lineage: Eukaryota; Metazoa; Chordata; Aves; Passeriformes; Passerellidae. The transcript has 4 exons.
GAAAUCUUGAUGGGGUUUUGAGUCAGAAUCUUGUAAUUCUUGUUUGAAAGACCAUAAAAAUGGAAAUAUUUUCUCAGGAGGAAAUCUUGGUGGAAUGAUGAGUCAGAAUCUUGUAAUCCUGAUUGGAAAGACCAUUAACAUGGAAAUAUUUUCUGAAAUGCAGCACAGGAGGAAAUCUUGACGGGAUGUUGAGUCAGACUCUCGUAAUUCUUACUUAAAAGAUGAUUAAAAUGGAAAUAUUUUCUGAAAUGCAGCACAGGUGAGGAUCUGAGCUGCAGAGCAAAUGCUGCAGGUGAAACUUGCCCUGAAAAUCCCUCCCCAGUCCAGAGGUGAGUGAGUGAUGAGCCAAAAAAAGAGGAUUUCGAGACAAUGUGACUCCAGCAGGCCAUGAGAACAAUGAGAAGCUCAAAAAUAGCACUAUUGACUGGUGGAAAAACAACAUACAUAUAAUUUUCAGGCUUUGCUUAUUAAGAAUCAUUUACUAUCUGUGGAAACAACUUCUGACUUAAGCAGUGGGGCCUUAAAAAAUCACUUUUAAUUGGAAUGAGAGAGUUCCUCCCAGUGCAACCCUGGGUCUGUUGGUGCUGGAAGUCUGGAGAGUGCAAUUAAAAGCCUCCCUCACCUCUGUGAUGAUAUCUUGGAAAUACAUGCAGCUUUCUGGAGUUUUUCUCCUCAUGUUUGAAUAGUUUUUUGGCCAAUUUGAAUCUUCUGGAGGAUCUGAUGUUUUAAGUUUUGCCUGGCUUUGAAUUUCUCAGCUGCCCAGGACCUGCUGUGGUUGCUUUUUACUCUUUCUUCUCGUGCUGCGUCCACAAAUUAUGAAAAUGGGUGCUAAUGACAAAAAAAAAAAAAAAUAAUCCCCAUCGUGAUUCAUGGAAAUGGAAUUUUGUUGACAAAAAAAGGGGGAUUUAACUUGGCCAAAGGAAAUGCUUUUCCAACUGGAGAUGAAUAUCUCAGGAAUGACCAUUUCUUCUCAGAGACAGAACUAUUCCAGUUUUCAUUUCAGAAAAAAACCAGAAUAGAAUAAUGCAAAUAAAGACCUGGAGAAAAGCAAGCAGGCCCACCCGAAAGGGGCAGUUUUUCCAGGCAAAGAAGUCCCAAAAAGUGAAUUUUGGGUGAGUGAAACGAAGGUGGGGAGGAUGCUGGGGCAGGAAACGCCGUCACCUCCCCUGGGCUGGCCACACCUCGUCCCAGUGCAGACCAGCAGCUCCCAAAAUCCUGGAAUGGCCGGGCUUGGAGGGCACCUCAGAGCUGUCCCCAGAUCUGCUCCUGAGUCCCCAGGUGUCCCCAGACCCUGUCCAGGUGUCCCUUAGAGCCCCAAAACCCCAUUCCAAAAGUCCCCUGCCCUGGUCCUGGUGUCCC